GACGAACGCUGGCGGCGUGCUUAACACAUGCAAGUCGAACGGAAAGGCCCUGCUUGCAGGGUACUCGAGUGGCGAACGGGUGAGCAACACGUGGGUGAUCUGCCCUUCACUUCGGGAUAAGCCUGGGAAACUGGGUCUAAUACCGGAUAGGAGCCAUUUUUAGUGUGAUGGUUGGAAAGUUUUUUCGGUGUAGGAUGAGCUCGCGGCCUAUCAGCUUGUUGGUGGGGUAAUGGCCUACCAAGGCGGCGACGGGUAGCCGGCCUGAGAGGGUGGACGGCCACAUUGGGACUGAGAUACGGCCCAGACUCCUACGGGAGGAAGCAGUGGGGAAUAUUGCACAAUGGGCGCAAGCCUGAUGCAGCGACGCCGCGUGGGGGAUGACGGCCUUCGGGUGGUAAACUCCUUUCGCUAGGGACGAAGCUUUUUGUGACGGUACCUAGAUAAGAAGCACCGGCUAACUACGUG
RNAcentral lists this ribosomal RNA (465 nucleotides) under uncultured bacterium. Its description in RNAcentral is "partial 16S ribosomal RNA". It matches the Rfam family "Bacterial small subunit ribosomal RNA", at positions 28 to 507 of the family's 1533-position model. The record is from RNAcentral.